UCCAGGGUAGCCUAGUGGACAUGGCAUCUGCCCGGUAAGCGGAAGGUUGUGGGUUCGGUUCCCGCCCCUGGAU
RNAcentral lists this transfer RNA (73 nucleotides) under Cordylochernes scorpioides. RNAcentral's name for it is "tRNA-Thr". It matches the Rfam family "tRNA". From Rfam's summary of the family: Transfer RNA (tRNA) molecules are approximately 80 nucleotides in length. Their secondary structure includes four short double-helical elements and three loops (D, anti-codon, and T loops). Further hydrogen bonds mediate the characteristic L-shaped molecular structure. tRNAs have two regions of fundamental functional importance: the anti-codon, which is responsible for specific mRNA codon recognition, and the 3' end, to which the tRNAs corresponding amino acid is attached (by aminoacyl-tRNA synthetases). tRNAs cope with the degeneracy of the genetic code in two manners: having more than one tRNA (with a specific anti-codon) for a particular amino acid; and 'wobble' base-pairing, i.e. permitting non-standard base-pairing at the 3rd anti-codon position. The record is from RNAcentral. Lineage: Eukaryota; Metazoa; Arthropoda; Arachnida; Pseudoscorpiones; Chernetidae.